UGACGGUACCUGUAGAAGAAGCACCGGCUAACUACGUGCCAGCAGCCGCGGUAAUACGUAGGGUGCGAGCGUUGUCCGGAAUUACUGGGCGUAAAGAGCUUGUAGGCGGUCUGUCACGUCGGUCGUGAAAACUCACAGCUCAACUGUGGGCCUGCGGUCGAUACGGGCAGACUAGAGUACUUCAGGGGAGACUGGAAUUCCUGGUGUAGCGGUGAAAUGCGCAGAUAUCAGGAGGAACACCGGUGGCGAAGGCGGGUCUCUGGGAAGUAACUGACGCUGAGAAGCGAAAGCGUGGGUAGCGAACAGGAUUAGAUACCCUGGUAGUCCACGCCGUAAACGGUGGGUACUAGGUGUGGGUUUCCUUCCACGGGAUCCGUGCCGUAGCUAACGCAUUAAGUACCCCGCCUGGGGAGUACGGCCGCAAGGCUAAAACUCAAAGGAAUUGACGGGGGCCCGCACAAGCGGCGGAGCAUGUGGAUUAAUUCGAUGCAACGCGAAGAACCUUACCUGGGUUUGAC
RNAcentral lists this ribosomal RNA (518 nucleotides) under Nocardia seriolae. RNAcentral describes it as "bacterial SSU rRNA". It matches the Rfam family "Bacterial small subunit ribosomal RNA", at positions 470 to 985 of the family's 1533-position model. The record is from RNAcentral. Lineage: Bacteria; Bacillati; Actinomycetota; Actinomycetes; Mycobacteriales; Nocardiaceae.